AACGAACGCUGGCGGCAUGCCUAACACAUGCCAGUCGAACGAAACCUUCGGGUCUUGUUGCGCUCGGGUGCGUAACGCGUGGUAACCUGCCCUUAGGUUCGCAAUAACUCCCUGAAAGGGGUGCUCAUACCGGUUAAUGUCUUCGGACCUAAGAUCUCUCGCCUUUGGAUGGGCCCGCGUUGGAUUCGCUAGUUGGUAGUGUAAAAGCCUACCAAGGAGACGAUCCAUAGCUGGUCUGAGAGGAUGAUCAGCCACACUGGGACUGAGACACGGCCCAGACUGCGAGGGGAGGCAGGAGUGGGGAAUAUUGGACAAGGGGCGAAAGUCUGAUCCAGCAAUGCCGGGUGAGUGAGGAAGGGGUUAGGGUUGUAAAGCUGUUUGACCCGGGAUGAUAAUGACAGUACCGGGAGAAUAAGCUCCGGCUAACUCCGUG
RNAcentral lists this ribosomal RNA (433 nucleotides) under uncultured bacterium. RNAcentral's name for it is "partial 16S ribosomal RNA". It matches the Rfam family "Bacterial small subunit ribosomal RNA", at positions 29 to 507 of the family's 1533-position model. The record is from RNAcentral.